This 328-nucleotide ribosomal RNA is filed under the name uncultured eukaryote. RNAcentral's name for it is "partial 18S ribosomal RNA". It matches the Rfam family "Eukaryotic small subunit ribosomal RNA", at positions 1470 to 1796 of the family's 1831-position model. The record is from RNAcentral.
CCCUUAGAUGUUCUGGGCCGCACGCGCGCUACACUGAUGCAUUCAACGAGUUUCUUCCUGGUCCGAGAGGAAUGGGUAACCUUUUGAAAGUCCAUCGUGAUAGGGAUAGACUAUUGCAAUUAUUGGCCUUCAACGAGGAAUUCCUAGUAGACGUAGUUCAUCAGACUGCAUCGAUUACGUCCCUGCCCUUUGUACACACCGCCCGUCGCUCCUACCGAUUGAAUGACUCGGUGAAAAAUUGGGACCGUGAGUCUGUCUGCUUCAUUGCGAGUGGAUUGAUGGGAACUUUUUUAAACCUCGCCAUUUAGAGGAAGGUGAAGUCGUAACA